Molecule: long non-coding RNA, 727 nt
Filed under: Mus spicilegus (steppe mouse)
Lineage: Eukaryota; Metazoa; Chordata; Mammalia; Rodentia; Muridae
Description: lncRNA (ENSMSIG00000009573.1)
Source: RNAcentral
GGGUCAGCAGAAGUGGGAGGGAGCACGAGAGUGUGUGAGGACUUAAAUAUCAUUAAAACCCAUUACAUAUAAAUAGAAAAGAAAAGCCUUGGCAAGUGCCUACCAGAUAUGGAAAAACGUGCUCCUUUCUGCUUGUCUGAAUUCUGUGUGGCCUAUUUGCAUGAGUUCCUUUCUUCUUUUACUAAUUGCGGUAUUUUUUUUUUCCUUAAACUGGGUAAGCGUCUGGGAGAUAUUUGGCAGAUUGCAGGAGAGUCAUGUCCUAGAUGGGGAGUCACCCAAACCAAAGCUGAGCUGAGUACCUGGCAAAGACGGUUGAAACUUCAGGACAGCCUGGGUGAAAUGCUCCAGCCUUAUUGGGAAAGGACACAUUUGAGUAAAAGCCAUCUUUGGAGGAGCAGCACCCUAUAGAGGCCACCCACUGGCCCCAGGAGCAAGGGCAGUGUGGGAGGCUGACCAGCCUAGGUGACUCAGAAGCAAAAAGAGAAGGGUGCUGGGAGCUUGGGAGACUGCUCAGUUACUGACUCAUCUGCACAGUCUGUGGUGAGGUCACCAGCCAGCCUCCUGUUCCACCCCAACACCCCGGAACCAAACACAGAGGGGGUACCACUGCCCAUCUCCAGAAGCAGAGGAGCCAGAAUCAUGGCCUUUCUAACUGUGAUUGUUGUGUCUGCUGUUUGAAAGAAGAAUAGAGGAAUAUACCAAGCUUGUGGUCUAGACUUUGAUACAG